Long non-coding RNA from Numida meleagris (helmeted guineafowl), 1054 nucleotides. RefSeq lists it as uncharacterized. The transcript has 2 exons. NCBI's taxonomy places the organism in Eukaryota, Metazoa, Chordata, Aves, Galliformes, Numididae. The record is from RefSeq and is a predicted model, not a curated record.
AUUCAUAAAGCAUCUUAUCUACUUUGCUUUAAUUUCUUUUUCUCUAACUGCUCUAAAAAUAGGAGUGUUACUCAUUUCUCUGAAGCCCCAUCAAUUGUUUACUGGUAAGCAUUGUCUGGAAAGGAAGGAAGGAUAAGGAGAUAGCAGGAGUAAAUCAAUAUUUUAUUGCAGUGAAAUGCUUGUGUUAUUUCAGCUAGUCAAUUUUACUUAUAACCUUCUCAGCUGCAGUGCUAUCCAUCUCAGUUGCUCCAGAAUGAAAGGCUACAUCACCUCUGCUGCUAGUCCAUGUGAUGGAGUGCAGAUGAAAGAAACAGACUAAACCAUUGGACUCAGCUUGGCAGAAAAUCGUCACUUUAUCCACUUUAAGAUUUUUAGGACAACAAUAGCAAAACAAUGACUUUUCAGCCCUUUUUACAAAGACUGGAAGCCACUGAGAAGUUAUGUGGAUCUCUGUAUCCCUGAGAGCAUGUAGACUGCUCAUUGAAUCUGCUCAAUCAUCUCAUUCUGCAUUUACCUUAAAAAAAAUGCAAAACAAGGCAAAGAAAGAAACCCAACCCCCAGAAGCAAGUAGCACUCCUGCUCAGACGAUGUUCAAGGGAGUUAUUCCAACUUGAUCUUUCUCUCACAUAUCCUUUAUGGGAGGAAAUAUUUACAAAGGAAGCAAACUGGAAAAGAUCACAAAGAUCCUGCCACAUAGAUUUCCUGGUGCUAUUCUCUAGAGGAAAAGGCAAAAGUACUUUCCUCAAAUUCCUUUUCCCAUGUAAACAGCGGGAAGAAUAUUAUCUUUUGUUAACUUUUUAUUUUGCUCAUUUGCCAUUAUCUGCAAAACAUGCUAUAUAAAAACUCUGUUUAUUAAUCAUGACUGUUGUGUUCUAUAACAAAAAUGAUCCCUUGGGACCAUAUUUGUUAUAUAUACUGAAAUGUACUGCUAGCUAAGUGGCUUUAUCUGUAAUGCAGAAAAUCUUUGUGUGCUUUGGAAGACCGUUUGGUGAACUGUGCAAGGAAAUCAUUUAGUUAUCUGGCUGCAUUAAAGACAAAAUCAAUUUAAGAUGAA